GUGCCAGCAGCCGCGGUAAUACGGAGGAUCCAAGCGUUAUCCGGAAUCAUUGGGUUUAAAGGGUCCGUAGGCGGUUUAGUAAGUCAGUGGUGAAAGCCCAUCGCUCAACGGUGGAACGGCCAUUGAUACUGCUGAACUUGAAUUACUGGGAAGUAACUAGAAUAUGUAGUGUAGCGGUGAAAUGCUUAGAUAUUACAUGGAAUACCAAUUGCGAAGGCAGGUUACUACCAGUUUAUUGACGCUGAUGGACGAAAGCGUGGGGAGCGAACAGGAUUAGAUACCCUGGUAGUCCACGCCGUAAACGAUGGAUACUAGCUGUUGGGCGCAAGUUCAGUGGCUAAGCGAAAGUGAUAAGUAUCCCACCUGGGGAGUACGAACGCAAGUUUGAAACUCAAAGGAAUUGACGG
RNAcentral lists this ribosomal RNA (407 nucleotides) under uncultured bacterium. RNAcentral's name for it is "bacterial SSU rRNA". It matches the Rfam family "Bacterial small subunit ribosomal RNA", at positions 505 to 916 of the family's 1533-position model. The record is from RNAcentral.